This 481-nucleotide ribosomal RNA is filed under the name uncultured bacterium. RNAcentral describes it as "bacterial SSU rRNA". It matches the Rfam family "Bacterial small subunit ribosomal RNA", at positions 903 to 1397 of the family's 1533-position model. The record is from RNAcentral.
AAAUGAAUUGACGGGAACCCGCACAAGUAGUGGAGCGCCUGGUUUAAUUCGAUGAUUAGCGAAGAACCUCACCUGGGCUUGAACUGUAGCUGCGAAUCUCCAGAAAUGGAGACGUCCUUCGAGGGAGCUAUAGAGGUGAUGCAUGGCUGUCGUCAGCUCGUGUCGUGAGAUGUCGGGUUAAGUCCCACAACGAGCGCAACCCCUAUCCUAUGUUAAAAUUUCUUAGGAGACUGCCCUGUUAUAACAGGGAGGAAGGAGGGGAUGACGUCCAGUCAUCAUGUCCCUUAUGUCCAGGGCUACACAGACGCUACAAUGGCAGCUACAAUGGGUCGCGAAACCGCAAGGUGGAGCUAAUCUCAUCAAAAGCUGUCUCAGUUCGGAUUGAAGGCUGCAACUCGCCUUCAUGAAGUUGGAAUUACUAGUAAUCGUGUAUCAGCAUGGCACGGUGAAUACGUUCUCGGGUUUUGUACACACCGCCCGU